GUGCCAGCCGCCGCGGUAAUACGGAGGGGGCAAGCGUUGUUCGGAAUUAUUGGGCGUAAAGGGCGCGUAGGCGGCCGAUCAAGUCGGGUGUGAAAUCCCUCGGCUCAACCGAGGAACUGCACCCGAUACUGCUUGGCUAGAGUCCGGGAGGGGAUGGCGGAAUUCCCAGUGUAGCGGUGAAAUGCGUAGAUAUUGGGAAGAACACCGGUGGCGAAGGCGGCCAUCUGGACCGGUACUGACGCUGAGGCGCGAAAGCCAGGGGAGCGAAUGGGAUUAGAUACCCCCGUAGUCC
RNAcentral lists this ribosomal RNA (292 nucleotides) under uncultured bacterium. RNAcentral's name for it is "partial 16S ribosomal RNA". It matches the Rfam family "Bacterial small subunit ribosomal RNA", at positions 505 to 796 of the family's 1533-position model. The record is from RNAcentral.